UUAACUCAUAUUUGUAUGGAAUGGGAUCGUUUGCGUACAUUUGCCGUUAGGGGCGCUGUUCCAACCGCAUACAAAAUUGGGUUA
This is a non-coding RNA of Bombyx mori (domestic silkworm), 84 nucleotides long. The record is from Rfam. NCBI's taxonomy places the organism in Eukaryota, Metazoa, Arthropoda, Insecta, Lepidoptera, Bombycidae.